RNAcentral lists this transfer-messenger RNA (350 nucleotides) under Nitrospirota bacterium. Its description in RNAcentral is "Nitrospirae bacterium (volcano metagenome) transfer-messenger RNA". It matches the Rfam family "transfer-messenger RNA". Rfam says of the family: Bacterial tmRNA, also known as 10Sa RNA or SsrA, is named for its dual tRNA and mRNA-like properties. RNAcentral also lists the same sequence under 2 other names. Lineage: Bacteria; Pseudomonadati; Nitrospirota. The record is from RNAcentral.
GGGGGCGAAAGGACUCGACGGGGGUUGCGAGGCUCUGGUCGCAUGCCGUGGUUCCGUCACCACGUAAAAAGGCGGAAACAAACACAAACGCCAACAACGAACUGGCACUCGCUGCUUAAUUAAAUAGCAGCGCGCUGCCCUGAAAUUGCCUGUGUUUCAGGUCACAGCGUCAUUCAACAGGCUGGCUUCAGGGGCUUUCUCCUGACCCAGGAGCAAGACAAAGGGAGAUAGGAUUUCGGGACGCCUGCCUGACGGCAGUCCGGGGUCCGAGAUGAAAUAGCCAGGAUAAGCAUGUAGAAGCCGGGGUGUAGUGCUUCCGGACGCGGGUUCAAUUCCCGCCGCCUCCACCA